AUACGGAGGGGGCUAGCGUUGUUCGGAAUUACUGGGCGUAAAGCGCGCGUAGGCGGCGGUACAAGUUGGUUGUGAAAGCCCGGGGCUCAACCCCGGAUGUGCGUCCAAAACUGUAUUGCUUGAGGCCGAGAGAGGGUGGCGGAAUUCCCAGUGUAGAGGUGAAAUUCGUAGAUAUUGGGAAGAACACCAGUGGCGAAGGCGGCCACCUGGCUCGGAACUGACGCUGAGGCGCGAAAGCGUGGGGAGCAAACAGGAUUAGAUACCCCAGUAGUCC
Molecule: ribosomal RNA, 274 nt
Filed under: uncultured bacterium
Lineage: Bacteria
Description: partial 16S ribosomal RNA
Rfam family: Bacterial small subunit ribosomal RNA
Source: RNAcentral